RNAcentral lists this ribosomal RNA (705 nucleotides) under Streptomyces tendae. RNAcentral describes it as "bacterial SSU rRNA". It matches the Rfam family "Bacterial small subunit ribosomal RNA", at positions 42 to 761 of the family's 1533-position model. The record is from RNAcentral. Lineage: Bacteria; Bacillati; Actinomycetota; Actinomycetes; Kitasatosporales; Streptomycetaceae.
UCAGGCCCUAAACACAUGCAAGUCGAACGAUGAACCACUUCGGUGGGGAUUAGUGGCGAACGGGUGAGUAACACGUGGGCAAUCUGCCCUGCACUCUGGGACAAGCCCUGGAAACGGGGUCUAAUACCGGAUACUGACCCUCGCAGGCAUCUGCGAGGUUCGAAAGCUCCGGCGGUGCAGGAUGAGCCCGCGGCCUAUCAGCUUGUUGGUGAGGUAAUGGCUCACCAAGGCGACGACGGGUAGCCGGCCUGAGAGGGCGACCGGCCACACUGGGACUGAGACACGGCCCAGACUCCUACGGGAGGCAGCAGUGGGGAAUAUUGCACAAUGGGCGAAAGCCUGAUGCAGCGACGCCGCGUGAGGGAUGACGGCCUUCGGGUUGUAAACCUCUUUCAGCAGGGAAGAAGCGAAAGUGACGGUACCUGCAGAAGAAGCGCCGGCUAACUACGUGCCAGCAGCCGCGGUAAUACGUAGGGCGCGAGCGUUGUCCGGAAUUAUUGGGCGUAAAGAGCUCGUAGGCGGCUUGUCACGUCGGUUGUGAAAGCCCGGGGCUUAACCCCGGGUCUGCAGUCGAUACGGGCAGGCUAGAGUUCGGUAGGGGAGAUCGGAAUUCCUGGUGUAGCGGUGAAAUGCGCAGAUAUCAGGAGGAACACCGGUGGCGAAGGCGGAUCUCUGGGCCGAUACUGACGCUGAGGAGCGACGGCA